RNAcentral lists this ribosomal RNA (465 nucleotides) under uncultured bacterium. RNAcentral describes it as "partial 16S ribosomal RNA". It matches the Rfam family "Bacterial small subunit ribosomal RNA", at positions 338 to 795 of the family's 1533-position model. The record is from RNAcentral.
CCUACGGGUGGCAGCAGUAGGGAAUCUUCCACAAUGGGCGAAAGCCUGAUGGAGCAACGCCGCGUGGGUGAAGAAGGUCUUCGGAUCGUAAAACCCUGUUGUUAGAGAAGAAAGUGCGUGAGCGUAACCGUUCCCGUUUCGACGGUAUCUAACCAGAAAGCCACGGCUAACUACGUGCCAGCAGCCGCGGUAAUACGUAGGUGGCAAGCGUUAUCCGGAUUUAGUGGGCGUAAAGGGAACGCAGGCGGUCUUUUAAGUCUGAUGUGAAAGCCUUCGGCUUAACCGGAGUAGUGCAUUGGAAACUGGCAGACUUGAGUGCAGAAGAGGAGAGUGGAAUUCCAUGUGUAGCGGUGAAAUGCGUAGAUAUAUGGAAGAACACCAGUGGCGAAAGCGGCUCUCUGGACUGUAACUGACGCUGAGGUUCGAAAGCGUGGGUAGCAAACAGGAUUAGAUACCCUAGUAGUC